This 1347-nucleotide ribosomal RNA is filed under the name uncultured bacterium. RNAcentral's name for it is "bacterial SSU rRNA". It matches the Rfam family "Bacterial small subunit ribosomal RNA", at positions 28 to 1381 of the family's 1533-position model. The record is from RNAcentral.
GACGAACGCUGGCGGCGUGCUUAACACAUGCAAGUCGAACGAUGAAGCCCAGCUUGCUAGGUGGAUUAGUGGCGAACGGGUGAGUAAUACGUGAGUAACCUACCUUUAACUCUGGGAUAAGCCUGGGAAACUGGGUCUAAUACCGGAUACGACCAAUCUCCGCAUGGGGUGUUGGUGGAAAGCGUUAUGUAGUGGUUAUAGAUGGGCUCACGGCCUAUCAGCUUGUUGGUGAGGUAACGGCUCACCAAGGCGACGACGGGUAGCCGGCCUGAGAGGGUGACCGGCCACACUGGGACUGAGACACGGCCCAGACUCCUACGGGAGGCAGCAGUGGGGAAUAUUGCACAAUGGGCGCAAGCCUGAUGCAGCGACGCCGCGUGAGGGAUGACGGCCUUCGGGUUGUAAACCUCUGUUAGCAGGGAAGAAGAGAGAUUGACGGUACCUGCAGAGAAAGCGCCGGCUAACUACGUGCCAGCAGCCGCGGUAAUACGUAGGGCGCGAGCGUUGUCCGGAAUUAUUGGGCGUAAAGAGCUUGUAGGCGGUUCGUCGCGUCUGCUGUGAAGGCCGGAGCUUAACUCCGUGUAUUGCAGUGGGUACGGGCAGACUAGAGUGCAGUAGGGGAGGCUGGAAUUCCUGGUGUAGCGGUGGAAUGCGCAGAUAUCAGGAGGAACACCGAUGGCGAAGGCAGGUCUCUGGGCUGUAACUGACGCUGAGAAGCGAAAGCAUGGGGAGCGAACAGGAUUAGAUACCCUGGUAGUCCAUGCCGUAAACGUUGGGCACUAGGUGUGGGGGACAUUCCACGUUUUCCGCGCCGUAGCUAACGCAUUAAGUGCCCCGCCUGGGGAGUACGGCCGCAAGGCUAAAACUCAAAGAAAUUGACGGGGGCCCGCACAAGCGGCGGAGCAUGCGGAUUAAUUCGAUGCAACGCGAAGAACCUUACCAAGGCUUGACAUAUACUGGACCGCAUCAGAGAUGGUGUUUCCCUUCGGGGCCGGUAUACAGGUGGUGCAUGGUUGUCGUCAGCUCGUGUCGUGAGAUGUUGGGUUAAGUCCCGCAACGAGCGCAACCCUCGUUCUAUGUUGCCAGCACGUUAUGGUGGGGACUCAUAGGAGACUGCCGGGGUCAACUCGGAGGAAGGUGGGGAUGACGUCAAAUCAUCAUGCCCCUUAUGUCUUGGGCUUCACGCAUGCUACAAUGGCCGGUACAGAGGGUUGCGAUACUGUGAGGUGGAGCUAAUCCCUAAAAGCCGGCCUCAGUUCGGAUUGGGGUCUGCAACUCGACCCCAUGAAGUCGGAGUCGCUAGUAAUCGCAGAUCAGCAACGCUGCGGUGAAUACGUUCCCGGGCCU